RNAcentral lists this ribosomal RNA (497 nucleotides) under uncultured bacterium. RNAcentral's name for it is "partial 16S ribosomal RNA". It matches the Rfam family "Bacterial small subunit ribosomal RNA", at positions 28 to 507 of the family's 1533-position model. The record is from RNAcentral.
GAUGAACGCUGGCGGCGUGCCUAAUACAUGCAAGUCGAGCGAACAGACGAGGAGCUUGCUCCUCUGACGUUAGCGGCGGACGGGUGAGUAACACGUGGAUAACCUACCUAUAAGACUGGGAUAACUUCGGGAAACCGGCGCUAAUACCGGAUAAUCUAUUGAACCGCAUGGUUCAAUAGUGAAAGACGGCUUUGCUGUCACUUAUAGAUGGAUCCGCGCUGCAUUAGCUAGUUGGUAAGGUAACGGCCUACCAAGGCAACGAUGCGUAGCCGACCUGUGAGGCUGGUCGGCCACACUAGAACUGAGACACGGUCCAGACGCCUACGGGAGGCAGCAGUAGGGAAUCGGCCGCAAUGGGCGAAAGCCUGACGGAGCAACGCCGAGUGAGUGAUGAAGGUCUUCGGAGCGUAAAACUCUGUUAUUAGGGAAGAACAAAUGUGGAAGUAACUAUGCACGUCUUGACGGUACCUAAUCAGAAAGCCACGGCUAACUACGUG